UGUAAGCGUAUACCAAAGUUGUUGCAGUUAAAACGCUCGUAGUCGGAAUUUGGCAGUUCCGGAUGUGUGCACGUCGUGUGCGCACUUCGCGGGGAUUGCUUUUGUGGUCUUGCGUAGGAUGAGGCACUUUUAUUAGUGAACGUCCUCACGCAACCACUUUUUACUGUGAGAAAAUCAGAGUGCUCAAAGCAGGCAUUUGCCGUGAAUGUAUUAGCAUGGAAUAAUAGAAUAGGACUUGGUUCUAUUUUGUUGGUUUGUUGGGACUGAGUAAUGAUUAAGGGGGACAGUUGGGGGCAUUUGUAUUCCGGCGCUAGAGGUGAAAUUCUUAGAUUGCCGGAAGACAAACUGCUGCGAAAGCGUCUGCCAAGGAUGUUUUCAUUGA
Molecule: ribosomal RNA, 382 nt
Filed under: uncultured eukaryote
Lineage: Eukaryota
Description: partial 18S ribosomal RNA
Rfam family: Eukaryotic small subunit ribosomal RNA
Source: RNAcentral